AUGGCAAUUUACAAGAGCUGCUCUACAAAUAUGCACUAUACUUCCUUAAUGAGAUAAAACCUGUAUCUGUCUCAAGUGUGGCAUUUCCAAAAGGACUGUCUAGAUAUAUUGAUCGUGGCUCACUGGAGACAUGUCUUCACCUAAUUGUUCUCUCUCUAUGUGUGGUCAUGGCAGGGUCUGGACACCUACAAACAUUCAAGUUGUUAAAAUAUUUGCGUGGUCGAAAUUCAGCAGAUGGGCACUUGAGCUUCGGUAAUCAGAUGGCUGUAAGCUUAGCCAUUGGCUUCUUGUUUAUUGGGGGUGGAAUGCAG
This 311-nucleotide unclassified non-coding RNA is filed under the name Hevea brasiliensis (rubber tree). Lineage: Eukaryota; Viridiplantae; Streptophyta; Magnoliopsida; Malpighiales; Euphorbiaceae. The record is from RNAcentral.